CCUACGGGAGGCAGCAGUAGGGAAUAUUGCUCAAUGGGCGAAACCCUGAAGCAGCAACGCCGCGUGGAGGAUGAAUGUUUUCGGAUUGUAAAAUCCUUUUGUUAGAGAAGAUAAUGACGGUAUCUAACGAAUAAGCACCGUCUAACAUCGUGCCAGCAGCCGCGGUAAUACGGAGGGUGCAGGCGUUACUCGGAAUCACUGGGCGUAAAGGGCGCGUAGGCGGGAUAGCAAGUCUGAUGUGAAAUCCUAGGGCUUAACCAUAGAAGUGCAUUGGAAACUGUUAUUCUAGAGUAUGGGGGAGGUAGGUGGAAUUCUUGGUGUAGGGGUAAAAUGCGUAGAGAUCAAGAGGAAUACUCAUUGCGAAGGCGACCUGCUAGAACAUAACUGACGCUGAUGCGCGAAAGCGUGGGGAGCAAACAGGAUUAGAUACCCUGGUAGUC
RNAcentral lists this ribosomal RNA (440 nucleotides) under uncultured bacterium. Its description in RNAcentral is "partial 16S ribosomal RNA". It matches the Rfam family "Bacterial small subunit ribosomal RNA", at positions 338 to 795 of the family's 1533-position model. The record is from RNAcentral.